Molecule: long non-coding RNA, 1067 nt
Organism: Nomascus leucogenys (northern white-cheeked gibbon)
Lineage: Eukaryota; Metazoa; Chordata; Mammalia; Primates; Hylobatidae
Exons: 3
Source: RefSeq, a predicted model, not a curated record
AAAAAAAAAAAAAAAAAAAAAGGCAAAAAACAAAAAAAAAAAAAAGAAAAAAUGGAGAUGGGAAACGAGGGCAGUUAAAGGAAAUGACAGAUGUGCGGGGGGGGGGGGCGGGGGGGGGUGUUGCUGGCAAGCCCAUGGGUAGAUAGGUAAGGGAUACAGCUUGGAGGAGCGAGACACCAUCCUCAGGCCUUCCAUCUAGUGGCAUCUCCAUUUUCCUUUUCAAAUCUGUUGAAAGUCAUCACUGAAGAUCCCCUGGGUCACAGGGAAGCAGUCGGGUGAAGACUGGGCUUAAUGUGGACCCAAAUCCCUAGAUAUCCUUGUUCCUCAAUCCCACUUGUUCUAAGGUGGAGACAGUCCCCACCGCAGAUUGCAGGCUCCUCCCAACCCUUCCCUCUCCCUCCCCUGCUCUCCAGGUAGCCUCUAGCAGUCAGUCUGCCGCCGGCUGUGAAGCCAGCACCUCCGCCAGCCCACCACCAGUUCCUUCUCCUGGGCUCCCUCCUGGCCCUCCACCAAGCGGCAACAUCUCCCAGGACAAAGGACACAGGCUCUGCUAUCCAGUUUCACCAGCUUCCAGGUGCUCCAUCUUCUCUCCCCUCAUAUGGACUAGAGGAAGAUGGUGACCAACUGCCUCCAUCCUGAGAUAAAGGCCCUGGGCAGACUUGCAGAAGCUAAUACAGUCCCCCUCAGUUUUCUUUCUACUCACACAUCAGUCCCGGCUCCAUUCAGCAUCCACAAUUUCAACAAUCAAAGAUACUGAAAUGUUCCAGUUCUCUGCUAGAUCCAGUCACACUCAUAUCAUCCCUGGUUCCUUCCAGAGCCUUCCCCAUGACCCCAGUAGUUUUCAGAACCCAUGACUUUAAUCAGGAUCUGAGACAGACAGAACAGAUUGGUCACGGGUACCUGCACUUUUACACUACAUACAAAGCCCAGUCUUUGCAGGUGGCUCCUGCACCUUCUCCCUGGUUCUCAGGUUCUUCUUAGGACACCUCCACCUGGUGCCUGAGUCAGCACCCCAUAAGGUCCAGAGUUGCUGGGACACGUCCCUGCCUGCCCCCAGACCUCCCCCU